CUACGGGGCGCUGCAGUGAGGAAUAUUGCACAAUGGGGGGAACCCUGAUGCAGCAACGCCGCGUGGAGGAUGACGCAUUUCGGUGUGUAAACUCCUUUUAUAUGUCAAGAAAAUGACGGUAGCAUAUGAAUAAGCACCGGCUAACUCCGUGCCAGCAGCCGCGGUAAUACGGAGGGUGCAAGCGUUACUCGGAAUCACUGGGCGUAAAGGACGCGUAGGCGGGUUGGAAAGUCAGGUGUGAAAUCCUACAGCUUAACUGUAGAACUGCACUUGAAACUUCUAAUCUAGAGUAUGGGAGGGGGAGAUGGAAUUAGUGGUGUAGGGGUAAAAUCCGUAGAUAUCACUAGGAAUACCUAAAGCGAAGGCGAUCUCCUGGAACAUUACUGACGCUAAGGCGUGAAAGCAUGGGGAGCAAACAGGAUUAAAUACCCCUGUAGUC
RNAcentral lists this ribosomal RNA (439 nucleotides) under uncultured bacterium. RNAcentral's name for it is "partial 16S ribosomal RNA". It matches the Rfam family "Bacterial small subunit ribosomal RNA", at positions 339 to 795 of the family's 1533-position model. The record is from RNAcentral.